Small nucleolar RNA from Oncorhynchus mykiss (rainbow trout), 73 nucleotides. The record is from Ensembl. Lineage: Eukaryota; Metazoa; Chordata; Actinopteri; Salmoniformes; Salmonidae.
AUUAGAUGAUGAAUCCAUCACGAACAUGAUUCUAUGUGAUUGGAAACUCCUAUACGGAUCUGACUUUUGAUGA